CAGCCGCCACGGGAAUACGAAGGGUGCAAGCGUUAAUCGGAAUUACUGGGCGUAAAGCGCGCGUAGGUGGUUUGGUAAGAUGGAUGUGAAAUCCCCGGGCUCAACCUGGGAACUGCAUCCAUAACUGCCUGACUAGAGUACGGUAGAGGGUGGUGGAAUUUCCUGUGUAGCGGUGAAAUGCGUAGAUAUAGGAAGGAACACCAGUGGCGAAGGCGACCACCUGGACUGAUACUGACACUGAGGUGCGAAAGCGUGGGGAGCAAACAGGAUUAGAGACCCCUGUAGUCCCUGUCUCUUAUAC
RNAcentral lists this ribosomal RNA (301 nucleotides) under uncultured bacterium. RNAcentral's name for it is "partial 16S ribosomal RNA". It matches the Rfam family "Bacterial small subunit ribosomal RNA", at positions 509 to 807 of the family's 1533-position model. The record is from RNAcentral.